RNAcentral lists this long non-coding RNA (1822 nucleotides) under Lepisosteus oculatus (spotted gar). RNAcentral's name for it is "lncRNA (ENSLOCG00000021392.1)". The record is from RNAcentral. Lineage: Eukaryota; Metazoa; Chordata; Actinopteri; Semionotiformes; Lepisosteidae.
GGAGGGGUGGGGAUUAGGAGGCUGGUGCGUUAGCUGAAUCGUCUCAAAACAUUUGUGUUGCUGUACCGCUAUUGUGUUCCUCCGCCAAAGCAGAUGAAGACAAAGUAGAGCUCUCUUUCAGGAUGUGGAAGUUUUAGUAAGAAAGAGGGAGGACACGUGCGCGUGGAUUAUGCGUUAUGGAGAAAGGCUGAAGUCUUGUGUGGUGUCAUGGCAGGACUGAAAUAUUUAUUGUUGGUUCUGUGCUGCAGUAGUUACAUAAUUCAUCACAUAACCCCGUGCACAAUCACUGUCCAAAAACAUGUGGCACCUUUUUAGAUGGAUUUAUACAUGCAAACUAUUGGUAAACAAGGUACUGUUGAAAUUGACCUUAGUUUUUCUACGUGUUUUCAUUUGCGUUGCUGUGGGUUUAAGAACAGCAUGUUGACAAAUCUUAAAAUUGUCAGAUGAAUUAUGUUUUAAGUAUAAAAAACAAAAUGUAAUACAUAAUGACAAAAGCGGUUUCAUAUCGCCAUAGUUACAUAAAGAACUUUUACUUUUCUAUACAUUUGAUUUUGCAUUUACACCAGAAACGCUGCAGGUCAGGUUAACUAAGUUGGGCACUUGCAUGUUAGGAAAUCCAGCUCCUUAGCUUUACGAUACCUAAUAACAGAAUAAUUCAAAUAUUUUCCGCUCAUUUUUAAUAACCGAACCGAUGGUAAAAAAGUCAAUCAAGUAAUAUGUCAUCGCUUUCCAAAAAUAUAUAUGGUAACCCAAAAAUUAACGAGGCUUUACAAUGAAGUAAAACGAAGUAAUCAAACUUUCGUGCAAAUCUAAAUAUGCUGCAACAGGCUGUGUAGAAAAUGUAUGAAUUCUGCUUUUUACCUUUUUUUCUUGUUCCGAGAGACACUCAUAGAAGAGCUGAGACGGAGCACUUUGAGAGACUGUAUCUUUCUAGAUAGUAUCGGGGCCCGAAAGUGCAGGAGAUUUGUAAGAAAUGGCAACGUAACCGCACAAUUAUGAACCGAUUUGCUGCAUGAGUGGAAACAGAGCUUGUUGGAAGACACCGCAGUUUUAGCAAGGCUGAUGUUUGCUGAAGAUGCGUUGUCAAAUGCCUCGUUGAAACCAUUCACACGGAAGUUCUGCGAUUUUCUGUUUGACUUGGACUUGCAUGGGGUUGAGACCUAGGACUCAAGACAUUGAAAUGUUCUCGUGGUUAUCUUAGUAAUCGCCUUUCUCUCGGGAGGUAAGGAUCGCGGAAAAGGGGUCAAAUCAGAGGCUCGAAGGAUGAUGGCAACAACAUGACCCCCAGUGAGAAUAUACCGGUCAGAUAUCGGAGACAUCACUGAAGCGGGACAGCAAGAACCAGCCCGGUUCACGAUUUUCCGCUCAGAUUCUUCUGAGCAAUGUGGAAUCAUCGAGUACAGGAUCGACAGCGUGAGAUAAAGAAAAAACACCUGCACUCCCAUGCACAUGAAACGUAGCGCGGGAAGACAAUAAAGAAACCCUUUUUUGUAUUUGUAUUGGCCACUGGUUUUCUAUUUUUGUUAAGUGAAAUUUGGGGGUCCUAGCAGCCAAAGGUAUUAUUGAAAAGUAGUCGCGAUUUUUUCUUUUUGGGCUCAGGGUGCUGCAUAUAACAAUUGACAUUUGAAUGUGUUUCUUCAGUAAAAGACGUAUCUUUCUUUUUUAGGUGAGCAAGUCUUAUAUAUUCAUUUAGGAAAUAUCCUCACUAUGGAAUUCGAAUUUACAUAUGUUUUUGUUUGUACAGUAUAUAUUGAUAUACAGUUUGUACAGUAUAUAUUGAUUACUUCAUUUCUCUUAGUCCUUAUGAUCUCUAGGGGCGCAA